UACGUAGGGUGCAAGCGUUGUCCGGAAUUAUUGGGCGUAAAGAGCUCGUAGGCGGUCUGUCGCGUCGGAUGUGAAAACCCAGGGCUCAACCCUGGGCCUGCAUUCGAUACGGGCAGACUAGAGUUCGGUAGGGGAGACUGGAAUUCCUGGUGUAGCGGUGAAAUGCGCAGAUAUCAGGAGGAACACCGGUGGCGAAGGCGGGUCUCUGGGCCGAAACUGACGCUGAGACGCGAAAGCGUGGGGAGCAAACAGG
This 253-nucleotide ribosomal RNA is filed under the name uncultured bacterium. RNAcentral's name for it is "partial 16S ribosomal RNA". It matches the Rfam family "Bacterial small subunit ribosomal RNA", at positions 524 to 776 of the family's 1533-position model. The record is from RNAcentral.